RNAcentral lists this long non-coding RNA (611 nucleotides) under Prunus persica (peach). RNAcentral's name for it is "long non-coding RNA (PPER_LNC005790)". Lineage: Eukaryota; Viridiplantae; Streptophyta; Magnoliopsida; Rosales; Rosaceae. The record is from RNAcentral.
UUAUGUUUUUGCAUGCAAAUUUUAAUUAUGAACUUAAUUAUUUUAUGAAUAAAUAAUUUUUUUAUUUAUUCAAUAAGUUAUGUAUUUUAUUGUUAAAUGUAUUGAAAGAACCAUGACUUUCAUUAUUCCUCACCAAUUAUUGAACAGUCCCAUUCUCUUGGACCCUAGGGUCUAAGGAAGUUUUGGUCACUCGCCAUUAGAUCUAACUUUAAGAAAAAACUGAUUUAAAUAUCAAUAUGUCAUUAUUUUAUUAUUUUUACUGUACAAAAUAUUAAUUUAACCUAAACAAAAACAAAAAUUUUAAAAAAAGAAAAAAAUCACUCCAACCAAAACACCCAUUCUCUUAGAAAAUCAAGAACAUGUUCUUCCUCCAUUGUCGUUCACAACUACCUUCAACUUCGGCGUUACAGAAGGAACCAAAUUCCGAGCCAUCAACCCAUCCCUUCACACUUUAACGUGAUUGAAUUUCAAGGACCCACAACCAAGUGAUUUUCCUGAUGUUCUCUACCUUUGUGACCAAAUUUUUAUUUAUAAAUGUUAGUUUUGAAUGAUUCAUGAAUCCAGUUUGGGAAAACUUCAAUUUUUUACAAAUAAAUUUCAGGCAUUUUUUU